RNAcentral lists this ribosomal RNA (119 nucleotides) under Lepisosteus oculatus (spotted gar). Lineage: Eukaryota; Metazoa; Chordata; Actinopteri; Semionotiformes; Lepisosteidae. The record is from RNAcentral.
GCCAGCAGCCAUAGCACUCUGCAACUCACAACUGGCAACCCAGUGAACCUAAGCAGGUGUGAGCCUGGUCAGUACCUGGAUGGGAGACCUCCUGGGAAAAACUAAGGUUGCUGCUAGAA